Leptidea sinapis is the source of this 375-nucleotide long non-coding RNA. RefSeq lists it as uncharacterized. NCBI's taxonomy places the organism in Eukaryota, Metazoa, Arthropoda, Insecta, Lepidoptera, Pieridae. The record is from RefSeq and is a predicted model, not a curated record. The transcript has 4 exons.
UGUCAUUUUAAUCGUCGAGAUGUACAGAACUAUAACUAUAACCGUCAUUCUUUUGGCCAACAUUUUUGUUUCGAGUCAACUGCUAGAGGGCACCACUGAGCAAGCAACAACAGCAAAUGUUACUAUCUCGUGUGUUACGGGGAUGGGUGACAGUGGAACUUGCGUUAGUCGCGAACAUUGCGACUAUGGCACGAGAGCCAUAGACUAUACUUUGUACGCACGGUCCUCAUUUAAAAGUGCUUGCCCAAGGGAUCAGACUUGCUGUCCAGAAUCGUCCCUGAUUCCAACCAACGAAACAGCAACAAUUUAAAGUUUUAUAGAGACCAAACCGUGGAAAUUAUUGUACAUUCGACUUAUUAUAAUGAUCUUUACAAA